This is a long non-coding RNA of Leptidea sinapis, 473 nucleotides long. RefSeq lists it as uncharacterized. Lineage: Eukaryota; Metazoa; Arthropoda; Insecta; Lepidoptera; Pieridae. The record is from RefSeq and is a predicted model, not a curated record. The transcript is spliced from 2 exons.
CUUGAGUUAAUUAUUAUGAUAAGUGCUUUGUUUGAAUUGAGUACAUUCAGGUUUAUAAAUGUUUUUUCACGUGGAAUGGAAAAUAUUAUCAUUCCUAGCAAUUUAUAUUUAUUUAAUCCAAGAUGUUGAACCAGCAGUUCCCAUCGACAUUGUUAUUGAAAAAUCCGGCAACAUAUCCUACACACCCAUAGUCAUGAUGAUACCAGACAAAGAACCAUUACUGUCCAGAAGACAUCGCAAAACACCCUGGCAUUUCAUGUUCGGUCCGGAUGAACCUGUUCCAGAUGAAACAAACUCCACCAUUGAUAAUCUGGCCCAUGGUAUUGUUCUAUUCUUUGAAAAACUUGCAUUGGAAUUGAACCACACUCUGCUGGGUAAAAAUAGUGGUAAUAAAAAUGUGAAUUCACUUAGGUUUCGUGAACGGAAUGGGAUUCAAAAUAUAAUUAUCAAUUAAACGUUGUUUUUCAUAGAAA